AUUCUGGUGCCAGCAGCCGUGGUAAUUCCAGUGCCAAUAGCGUAUAUUUAAGUUGUUGCAGUUAAAAAGCUCGUAGUUGGAUCUUGGGUCGUAAAGAUCGGUCCACCUACUCGGUGUGCACCUGCCCUUCUGUCCCUUUUGUCGGCGGCGUGCUCCUGGCCUUAAUUGGCUAGGUCGUGGCUCUGGCACUGUUACUUUGAAAAAAUUAGAGUGCUCAAAGCAAGCUUAUGCUCUGAAUACAUUAGCAUGGAAUAACGUGAUAGGAGUCUGGUCCUAUUGUGUUGGCCUUCAGGACCGGAGUAAUGAUUAAAUGGGACUGUCGUGGGCAUUCGUAUUUCAUUGUCAGAGGUGAAAUUCUUGGAUUUAUGAAAGACGGACCACUGCGAAAGCAUUUGCCAAGGAUGUUUUCAUUAAUCAAGAACGAAAGUCGGGGGCUCGAAGACGAUCAGAUACCGUCCUAGUCUCAACCAUAAACGAUGACGACCAAGGAUCGGCGGAUGUUGCUCUAAGGACUCCGCCAGCACCUUCUGAGAAAUCAGAGUGUUUGGGUUCCGGGGGGAGUAUGGUCGCAAGGCUGAAACUUAAAGGAAUUGAUGGAAGGGCACCACCAGGAGUGGAGCCUGCGGUUUAAUUUGACUCAACACGGGGAAACUUACCAGGUCCAGAUAUAGUAAGGAUUGACAGAUUGAGAGCUUUUUCUUGAUUCUAUGGGUGGUGGUGCAUGGCCAUUCUUAGUUGGUGGAGCGAUUUGUCUGGUUAAUUCCGAUAACGAACGAGACCUCAGCCUGCGAACUAGCUACGUGGAGGUUCCCCUUCGCAGCCAGCUUCUUAGAGGGACUAUGGCCGUUUAGGUCAUGGAAGUUUCAGGAAAUAAUAGGUCUAUGAUGCCCUUAGAUGUUCUGGGCCGCACGCGCACUACACUGAUGGAGCCAACGAGCUUUUCUUCCUGGUUCGAGAGGAUCGGGAAAUCUUCUCAAAUUGCAUCGUGAUGGGGAUAGAGCAUUGCAAUUAGUGGUCUUCAACGAAGAAUUCCUAGUAAGCGCGUGUCAUCAACUCGUGUUGACUACGUCCCUGCCCUUUGUACACACUGCUCGUCUCUCCUACCGAUUGAAUGAUCCGGUGAAGUGUUCGGAUUGCGUCGACGAUGGUGGUUCACCGCCAUCGACGUCGUGAGAAGUUCAUUGAACCUUAUCAUUUAGA
RNAcentral lists this ribosomal RNA (1200 nucleotides) under Pinus taeda (loblolly pine). RNAcentral describes it as "SSU rRNA". It matches the Rfam family "Eukaryotic small subunit ribosomal RNA", at positions 558 to 1777 of the family's 1831-position model. Lineage: Eukaryota; Viridiplantae; Streptophyta; Pinopsida; Pinales; Pinaceae. The record is from RNAcentral.